Molecule: small nuclear RNA, 111 nt
Filed under: Microtus ochrogaster (prairie vole)
Lineage: Eukaryota; Metazoa; Chordata; Mammalia; Rodentia; Cricetidae
Source: RNAcentral
AUUAAAGAGCAGAAGCAUGUAUACUGAAAUUGGAAUGAUACAGAGAAGAUUGGCAUGGCCCCUGUGCAAGGACGACACACAUUAAGUCAAGCGGUAGUGGCACAUGCAUUU